ACGCUGGCGGUAGGCCUAACACAUGCAAGUCGAACGGCAGCACAGUAAGAGCUUGCUCUUAUGGGUGGCGAGUGGCGGACGGGUGAGGAAUACAUCGGAAUCUACCUUUUCGUGGGGGAUAACGUAGGGAAACUUACGCUAAUACCGCAUACGACCUUCGGGUGAAAGCAGGGGACCUUCGGGCCUUGCGCGGAUAGAUGAGCCGAUGUCGGAUUAGCUAGUUGGCGGGGUAAAGGCCCACCAAGGCGACGAUCCGUAGCUGGUCUGAGAGGAUGAUCAGCCACACUGGAACUGAGACACGGUCCAGACUCCUACGGGAGGCAGCAGUGGGGAAUAUUGGACAAUGGGCGCAAGCCUGAUCCAGCCAUACCGCGUGGGUGAAGAAGGCCUUCGGGUUGUAAAGCCCUUUUGUUGGGAAAGAAAAGCAAUCGAUUAAUACUCGGUUGUUCUGACGGUACCCAAAGAAUAAGCACCGGCUAACUUCGUGCCAGCAGCCGCGGUAAUACGAAGGGUGCAAGCGUUACUCGGAAUUACUGGGCGUAAAGCGUGCGUAGGUGGUUGUUUAAGUCUGUUGUGAAAGCCCUGGGCUCAACCUGGGAAUUGCAGUGGAUACUGGGCGACUAGAGUGUGGUAGAGGGUAGUGGAAUUCCCGGUGUAGCAGUGAAAUGCGUAGAGAUCGGGAGGAACAUCCAUGGCGAAGGCAGCUACCUGGACCAACACUGACACUGAGGCACGAAAGCGUGGGGAGCAAAC
RNAcentral lists this ribosomal RNA (753 nucleotides) under uncultured bacterium. Its description in RNAcentral is "bacterial SSU rRNA". It matches the Rfam family "Bacterial small subunit ribosomal RNA", at positions 33 to 773 of the family's 1533-position model. The record is from RNAcentral.